Molecule: ribosomal RNA, 468 nt
Filed under: uncultured bacterium
Lineage: Bacteria
Description: partial 16S ribosomal RNA
Rfam family: Bacterial small subunit ribosomal RNA
Source: RNAcentral
GACGAACGCUGGCGGCGUGCUUAACACAUGCAAGUCGAACGGAAAGGCCCUGCUUUUGUGGGGUGCUCGAGUGGCGAACGGGUGAGUAACACGUGAGUAACCUGCCCUUGACUUUGGGAUAACUUCAGGAAACUGGGGCUAAUACCGGAUAGGAGCUCCUGCUGCAUGGUGGGGGUUGGAAAGUUUCGGCGGUUGGGGAUGGACUCGCGGCUUAUCAGCUUGUUGGUGGGGUAGUGGCUUACCAAGGCUUUGACGGGUAGCCGGCCUGAGAGGGUGACCGGCCACAUUGGGACUGAGAUACGGCCCAGACUCCUACGGGAGGCAGCAGUGGGGAAUAGUGCGCAAUGGGCGGAAGCCUGAUGCAGCAACGCCGCGUGCGGGAUGACGGCCUUUGGGUUGUAAACCGCUUUCGCCUGUGACGAAGCGUGAGUGACGGUAAUGGGUAAAGAAGCACCGGCUAACUACGUG